UAUUCACAGGUGCAAUCAUAGUGCACUACAGCCUCAAACUCCUAGCCUCAAGCAAUCCUCAUGCCUCAGCCUCCAGAGUAGCUGGGCCUACAGGUACUUAACACCUCAUCUGGCAUCCCCCAGUCAGAUAUUUGGAUGAGACCCCUGCCUUGGCUAACACCUUGAUGAAAACCUGUGGAAGGUUCUAAGGCAGGACCCUCAGCGCAGCCACUUCUCCAGGCACUCGGCAGAGAGAACGCGCGUAGGCGUUGCCCUGGCAACGCCGGGAUGCCCAGCAACAAGUCCGCGGCGUGUAUCACGUGCUCGGCGCGGACCAAUCCGAGGGCCCGCCGGGAAGCAGGAGCAAUAGCAAAAAUUGGGAAUGGGAAGAAACAGGUACCAGCCAGGACACCUGAACGAACUUGGAGCUCAGGAACCCAGGAGGGGAUUGGAGAGAGUGGGGAGACUCCAUGGUCCACAAUGAAUGCUCCUUCCCCAUCCGAAAAAAUCCCCUAGCCCAGUUUUUGGGCAGAUGCCAGACUUUUAUUCUGAAGCGUGGGCCACAACCUAUGAGGUAAUCUUUGGAGCUUCAUUCUGAGGCGGAAUCCCAUUGGCCAGUUGGGGAAGCCCCUCCCAGGAUUCCUGGCGCUCCGCCUUCCCUGAAGCCUAUAAAAGCGCAGGUCCCCGCCUCGGCAGCCACGGGACACCUGCAUCUGCCAACAAGACUGGAAGCAGAAAGGGACAGAGACGGCGAAGUUUGACGGUCUGGAAAGCAGAGACCAGCAGGGCUGACUGCUUGGGAGCACCAAAUAUCCGGACAGCGCCUCUCGGGAGGUCCGAGAAGAGAACCGCGAUCUGUUUCAGCACCGGGGCUCAGGACAGUUCCCAGCGGGCUCCGUUUCGUCUCCAGAACCCUGGACAGCUCCUCCAGCCUCCCAAAGUGCUAGGAUUACAGGCGUGAGUCACUGCGCCUGGCCCAAGUCCGGAAUUUUCAACAGGACAUGGGUGUUACUGUGCCCAUGUGACAUUUGGGGAACCCAAGGCCCUGAGAAAGGCAGAAAAAUAACCCACGCAGGGACUCUCAGCCCACAAGUGAAGCUGAGAACCGGGAAUGGAAAACAGGGAGGCAGCACAGAGGCAGGAAACUCAGGUGUCAUAGCUUGGCUCAGCUUGGAAUGCACUCCCUCCACCUCCAACCAGAGCUCCCCACAACUGACCCUGCCUUCUUCUGCAAGCUCCAUUUCAUCAAGGGAAACGAUCCUUAUUGCCUCACCAUUUCCCACGUGAAGUCUGUAUUGACAUUCUCAUAGACCUGGGAUAUUGUGUCUGCAGCACAUAGUCCAAUUAUUUUCAUGUUAUCUACUGACAGGUCUAUUUGUCUCCCUGUUACACUGUGAGCUCCGUGAGGGCAGAAACAAUGUUAGUAUUUUCACUGCUGUGUCCCCAGCGCCUGGUCCGGGGCCCGGCACACAGCAGGCAUAUAAUAAGCAUGUGUUGAAUCAAUAAAGGCAUCAAAGAAUAAACCAAUACAUCAAUCAAUAAAUGAAUGAAUGGCCUCAGCACACACAGGAAGAUCCUUCUUCUAGGUCUCCCCCAGAGAGAUACUGGAGGGCAAUGGUUGCUGGAGGUGUUUAUUGGGGAAGCAUAAUUGAAUUUGUGGACACUUAAGGGCCGGCCAGCCAACUCACAGCCCCAAGAGAGAGAGCCAGGCUCAUUUAAUUAGCAAUUACAAGGCACUGAUUCCUCAUUAGCUCUGGCAACCCUCGUCUCCCUCCUCAGCCCCAGACAAAUGAAAUCUUUCUCUCUCUCCCAGGAGUACUGCCUCAGUGGGUCCAUUAACAAGCAGAGAAAAUGAGAUUAGAAGACACCUAAAUGCCAGAGGCACUUUAUGAAUGGGCUGAGCAGAGGGAGGUUCAAUGUCUGGGUUAGGUCUAAUUGUGGGAGGUUUCCUGGUCUAUUUAGAAUUGCCCCCUGGGAAUGCAAGGUCUUUCAGAAAGGAAAAGGCACACAGAUAUUGCCUUCUGGGGUCCUCAAUGGAGGAGGACAUUCUGCUAUGGGUGUCUCCCAGUCACCCCAAAUUAAUCAUUUCAAAGUGAACACUCAAUCUGCCCAGCCCCUAGCUUCCUCCCCUGACAUGCCCAUGAAUAUGACAGUCCCUCUACAUGCCCAAGAUCCUCCCCUCCUCAUCCACUCCCCAUGAUCCCCAAGAUGAGUCACUGUGCUCAAAUCCAUCCUCUCUCCUCCAGCCCUCUGCCUCCAUGACCUCCCUCCAGCCCUCUGCCUCCAUGACCUCCGCCUCCCUGCAUGUCCGGAUCUCCUCACUGUCUCCCCUCUGAGCAUACACACACAUACAGCCUGUUCAUUCUCUACAUGCAGCGAGGGGACUUUCCAGAACACACAUCUGACCAAGUUCCACUCCUGCCUGUCACCCUUCCAAGAGCCCCACUGACUGCAGAAUAACGUUCAAAUAUCCGGUUGGGCGUGGUGGCUCAUGCCUGCAGUCCCAGCACUUUGGGAGGCCAAGGUGGGUGGAUCACUUGCACAGGACCACAGGCGUGUGCCACCACACCCAGCUAAUUUUUAUAUUUUUGGUAGAGACGGAGUUUCACCAUGUUGGCCAGGCUGACCUCAAGUGAUCCACCCGCCUCAACCUCCCAAAGUGCUGGGAUUACAGGCAUGAGUCACUGCACCGGUCUAAUUUUUUCAGAGUCUCACUCUUGCCCAGGCUGGAGUGCAGUAGCAUGAUCUCGGUUCACUGCAACCUCUGCCUCCUGGUUUCAAGCGAUUCUCUUGGCUCAGCCUCCUGAGCAGCUGGGAUUACAGGCACGUGCCACCACACUUAGCUAAUUUUUGUAUUUUUAGUAGAGAUGGGGGUCUCACCAUGCUGGCACAGUUGGUCUUGAACUCCUGACCUCAAGUGAUCCACCCACCUCGGCUUCCCAAAGUGCUGGGAUUACAGACGUGAGCCACCGCGCCCGGCCAGCCUUUAUUGAUUCUUUUUAAAGCCACACUAACCUUUUAUUUUCCCCCAAAGACCCCUGGGAGCCCUCAGUUUUUCCUGGCAGUUUCAUCUUUGUACCCCUGACCUCCCCACACACACGCCUAGCUCAGUGCUGGCAUCCAAUAUUCACUUUGGGUAUAAAUGCUUGUGCCUGAGCCUAUCACCUUCAUCACACAGAAAAUCCUGGAGGCCACACACCCCUGUAAAGACGAGCCAUUACCCACAGAGGUCCAACCAACUUACCACCCUCUCCCAGCCACCCCCAAGGACCCAGCUUGCAGCUGCCUGCUCAAUGGCUUUAGAAACUAAAAAAGGUGAAUGAGUUUCCAUCACUGCCCUCCUGGGCUUUGCCGUUAUGGCUGGUUAACUUGACAGAAGAACACAUUAUACUUCAUUUUUUGCUGUUGUCUUGUUGGAAAAAAAAGUGACAGCUGGGUGCAGUGGUGCACACUGUAGUCACAGCUACUCAGGAGAAUUGCUUGAGCACAGGAAUUGGAGGCUACACUGAGCAAUGAUCGCCUCACUGCACUCCAGCCUGAACGACAGAGCAAGACCCUCUUAAAAAAUACGUGAGAGAGGGUGCGUAUGAUGGCUCAUGCCUGUAAUCCCAGCAGUUUG
Molecule: long non-coding RNA, 3598 nt
Filed under: Homo sapiens (human)
Lineage: Eukaryota; Metazoa; Chordata; Mammalia; Primates; Hominidae
Description: HSALNT0254840
Source: RNAcentral